Molecule: ribosomal RNA, 253 nt
Filed under: uncultured bacterium
Lineage: Bacteria
Description: partial 16S ribosomal RNA
Rfam family: Bacterial small subunit ribosomal RNA
Source: RNAcentral
CACGUAGGGCGCAAGCGUUGUCCGGAAUUAUUGGGCGUAAAGAGCUCGUAGGCGGCUUGUCGCGUCGUCCGUGAAAACCAGGGGCUCAACCCCUGGCUUGCGGUCGAUACGGGCAGGCUAGAGUUCGGUAGGGGAGACUGGAAUUCCUGGUGUAGCGGUGAAAUGCGCAGAUAUCAGGAGGAACACCUAUGGCGAAGGCAGCUCGCUGGGACGUUACUGACGCUGAGACGCGAAAGCGUGGGGAGCAAACAGG